GGAUUUUGGUGAGGACUUCUCACAAAUCCGAUUCCACUUCUUUUAGGAAUGUGACCCUUAUUUGUAAGGAUCAUGUUCAAAGACUUACUACCAACCUCGAAUUUCUUCAAGGUGUCCUUAAGUAGCAAGUUCUCCUUUUGGAGAGUUUCUAGAUCAUGGCAUUUUAUACAUGGAGCUAAACUAUCAUGAUAUUCAGUCUUUAAUUUAUCGACAUCACAAGU
This 221-nucleotide long non-coding RNA is filed under the name Musa acuminata (dwarf banana). RNAcentral's name for it is "long non-coding RNA (MACU_LNC010135)". Lineage: Eukaryota; Viridiplantae; Streptophyta; Magnoliopsida; Zingiberales; Musaceae. The record is from RNAcentral.